CUUAUGUCCUAUCGCUAGUAGUUGUGAGUUGUGACAAGCUGUUUGGGUUGCAAACUCAUGGGGUCCACACCCAACUAAGCCCUUCAUUUGUUGCACCAUACCCACCUUGAAACACAUCUCAUUUGCCUCUUUGGUUAUAAAUGGGUGGGCAAAGAGGACAUGAAUUUGCAGAUGGGUGUCUCAAAACCACCAUUUUAAGACCUCCCCUCUCUCACUGCGCUUCUCUCUCUAUCUUCUCUUUGUGGGGGAACUGGCUCCUAGUUGCGGUACGAGGAAGGUGUGUGUUGAGCAAGAUGGAGAAGCAGGGCACGUGCAUUACUAACUGAUGCCAAGCACGCACACUAGCAUCUACAUAUUUCUUGCUGUAGUUAAUAUGACUACUCUAAUUACCUACAAUUAAGCUUAAGAAGGUUUUGCUAGGUUGCGGUGAGUUAGUUCUUCAUGUGCCCCUCUUCCCCAUCAUGACCACUGCAUCUUAUAUAUUUGUUUCGUUGGAGUGAAGGCCACCCAGAAGCUCAUGACUAUAUAUCCCAGAAAUUAUUCUCCGAGAAUUGCUGAAUCGAAGCUCCAAGUUCCGGGGAAAAGUGACGGAUGAUGAACAGACAUAGGCAAAUUGGGUACCACCACCGAGGAGACAAGAGAUAUUACCCUCAUAUGUCUCUAUUCCAUCCUUUUCGCCGUCCACGUUCCAGUGACAACGAUAAAGCCACAGGCCACAAUGGCACAGACACCUCGCUUUCUAAUCCGCGUGAGGUCGAUGGCUCGUCCAAACAUCUCAUGGAUAAUGAAUGGUUCCAAUGGCGGCACGCAACCCCAGUAUGAUAUUACCCAAAUGACAUUGGAGUUUAGCUAAUAAAGCCAUAGCUAGUCAUGACUUCUAGAAAAAGCUGGUCUUCUUACGUUUUAUCUUAUUUUACUGAUGUGAUCACAUGGGUCAUGGGCUAUUCGUCCCUAAUUUUUUUUUUUUUUUUUUAAAUAAUUUUAAUUAUCAGAA
Molecule: long non-coding RNA, 994 nt
Organism: Alnus glutinosa
Lineage: Eukaryota; Viridiplantae; Streptophyta; Magnoliopsida; Fagales; Betulaceae
Exons: 3
Source: RefSeq, a predicted model, not a curated record